GCAAGUCCGACGAGAAAGGGGAAGAAUCCCUGAGUACAGUGGCGUACGGGUGAGUAACACGUGGAUAAUCUGCCCUUUAGUGGGGAAUAACCCUGGGAAACCGGGGCUAAUACCGCAUGAGCACGAGAGUGGAAAGCAGCAAUGCGCUGAAGGAGGAGUCCGCGGCCGAUUAGCUAGUUGGCAGGGUAAAAGCCUACCAAGGCAAAGAUCGGUAGCCGGCCUGAGAGGGCACACGGCCACACUGGCACUGAAACACGGGCCAGACUCCUACGGGAGGCAGCAGUGGGGAAUCUUGCACAAUGGGGGAAACCCUGAUGCAGCGACGCCGCGUGAGCGAUGAAGCCCUUCGGGGUGUAAAGCUCUUUCGGCAGGGAAGAUGAUGACGGUACCUGCAGAAGCAGCUGCGGCUAACUACGUGCCAGCAGCCGCGGUAAUACGUAGGCAGCAAGCGUUGUUCGGAGUUACUGGGCGUAAAGGGUGUGUAGGCGGUUGUUUAAGUUUGGUGUGAAAUCUCCCGGCUCAACUGGGAGGGUGCGCCGAAUACUGAAUGACUCGAGUGCGGGAGAGGAAAGUGGAAUUCCUGGUGCAGCGGUGAAAUGCGUAGAUAUCAGGAGGAACACCGGUGGGUGUAGACGGCUUUCUGGACCGUAACUGACGCUGAGACACGAAAGCGUGGGUAGCAAACAGGAUUAGAUACCCUGGUAGUCCACGCCCUAAACGAUG
Molecule: ribosomal RNA, 723 nt
Filed under: uncultured bacterium
Lineage: Bacteria
Description: bacterial SSU rRNA
Rfam family: Bacterial small subunit ribosomal RNA
Source: RNAcentral